RNAcentral lists this microRNA (22 nucleotides) under Brachionus plicatilis. Its description in RNAcentral is "Bpl-Mir-1-P22_3p (mature (guide))". RNAcentral also lists the same sequence under 1 other name. The record is from RNAcentral. Lineage: Eukaryota; Metazoa; Rotifera; Eurotatoria; Ploima; Brachionidae.
UGGAAUGUAAAGAAGUUUGUGG